ACUAACUUCAAGACCCAGUGUGCUCCCUGGACUGCAUUUUCAGAUUUUAUAUAUAUAUAUAUAUAUAUAUAUAUAUAAAAUCAGAAAAUGCAGUCCAGGGAGCACACUGGGUCUUGAAGUUAGU
Non-coding RNA from Pelobates cultripes (western spadefoot toad), 124 nucleotides. The record is from the annotation of a GenBank genome assembly. NCBI's taxonomy places the organism in Eukaryota, Metazoa, Chordata, Amphibia, Anura, Pelobatidae.